CCCUUAGAUGUUCUGGGCCGCACGCGUGCUACACUGAACGGUUCAAUGGGUGAGGUAGUGCGAAAGCAUAACCUAAUCUCGAAAUCCGUUCGUGCUGGGGAUAGAAGCUUGCAAUUAUCCUUCUUGAACGAGGAAUACCUUGUAGGCGUGAGUCAUCAUCUCGCGCCGAAUACGUCCCUGCCCUUUGUACACACCGCCCGUCGCUCCUACCGAUUGAGUGUUCCGGUGAGGCUUUGGGAGAGCUGGGUGGAUUGUGUUUCACGAACUGCUCGGUUUGAACUUAGUCAAACCUUAUCACUUAGAGGAAGGAGAANUCGUAACA
RNAcentral lists this ribosomal RNA (322 nucleotides) under uncultured eukaryote. RNAcentral describes it as "partial 18S ribosomal RNA". It matches the Rfam family "Eukaryotic small subunit ribosomal RNA", at positions 1470 to 1796 of the family's 1831-position model. The record is from RNAcentral.